GUCGACGAUGAUCCCCAGCUUGCUGGGGGGAUUAGUGGCGAACGGGUGAGUAACACGUGAGUAACCUGCCCUUAACUCUGGGAUAAGCCUGGGAAACUGGGUCUAAUACCGGAUAUGACUCCUCAUCGCAUGGUGGGGGGUGGAAAGCUUUAUUGUGGUUUUGGAUGGACUCGCGGCCUAUCAGCUUGUUGGUGAGGUAAUGGCUUACCAAGGCGACGACGGGUAGCCGGCCUGAGAGGGUGACCGGCCACACUGGGACUGAGACACGGCCCAGACUCCUACGGGAGGCAGCAGUGGGGAAUAUUGCACAAUGGGCGCAAGCCUGAUGCAGCGACGCCGCGUGAGGGAUGACGGCCUUCGGGUUGUAAACCUCUUUCAGUAGGGAAGAAGCGAAAGUGACGGUACCUGCAGAAGAAGCGCCGGCUAACUACGUGCCAGCAGCCGCGGUAAUACGUAGGGCGCAAGCGUUAUCCGGAAUUAUUGGGCGUAAAGAGCUCGUAGGCGGUUUGUCGCGUCUGCCGUGAAAGUCCGGGGCUCAACUCCGGAUCUGCGGUGGGUACGGGCAGACUAGAGUGAUGUAGGGGAGACUGGAAUUCCCUGGUGUAGCGUGAAAUGCGCAGAUAUCAGGAGGAACACCGAUGGCGAAGGCAGGUCUCUGGGCAUUAACUGACGCUGAGGAGCGAAAGCAUGGGGGAGCGAA
This 700-nucleotide ribosomal RNA is filed under the name bacterium 46-L049640-122-012-F06. RNAcentral describes it as "bacterial SSU rRNA". It matches the Rfam family "Bacterial small subunit ribosomal RNA", at positions 61 to 772 of the family's 1533-position model. The record is from RNAcentral.